This 689-nucleotide long non-coding RNA is filed under the name Sorghum bicolor (sorghum). Its description in RNAcentral is "long non-coding RNA (SBIC_LNC006074)". The record is from RNAcentral. Lineage: Eukaryota; Viridiplantae; Streptophyta; Magnoliopsida; Poales; Poaceae.
GCCGUCGCUUAAGGUAUUGUUUAGAUUCAAAAAGUUUUUAGAUUUUAAUAUUGUAAUUUUUUUGUUUUUAUUUAAUAAAUAUUGUCUAGUUAAUGAGUAACUAGACUUAAAAGAUUUGUCUCGUGAUUUACAGACAAACCGCCGUGCAAUUAGUUUUUGUUUUUAUCUAUAUUUAAUAUUCUAUGUAUGUGCCGCAAGAUUCGAUAUGACGAAGAAUCUUGAAAAGUUUUUGGUUUUUGGAGUGAACUAAAUAAGGCCUAAUUUGCUGCACUUAACAAAGGUUCCGUUCAGUACCAAAUUAAAUACCAAUGUACCGCCGUUGGACAGAGACGCCAACGACCGGCCCUGCAGGCUGUACAUGGAGUGCCCAGCGAAUUACAGACGAACAAAUACAGGUUUUUCACAUUCGUGAAAGAGAAAUCUGAGUGGUGAAUGUCAUGAGUUUGAUACUAGCACGUAGACCUAAUUGUAAAAUGUAUGUCCUCCGGCCCUUUAAUCCCUUUUUGCAUUGUGUGCCUGAGACACUGAAUAGUGCUUACUAAAAGCCCGAGCACUUGGUUUAUUAAUUUCACUAUAUUUCCUUUCCUGGGUCUUGUAGCUUAGUUCUGAAAUAUAUAGGAGUAUAUAUUAUUACACAUGUUCCAGAUAAUGCCCUGCCAGUGCUUAUUAGUUUUGUCACCUAGCAGUAC